RNAcentral lists this ribosomal RNA (412 nucleotides) under Ammonia sp. 1403. RNAcentral's name for it is "partial 28S ribosomal RNA". Lineage: Eukaryota; Foraminifera; Rotaliida; Rotaliidae. The record is from RNAcentral.
CGUAAUAACAGAAACUAACCAGGAUUCCCUUAGUAACGGCGAGUGAACUGGGAUACCAAUAUAAAAUAUGCACUACGUGCAUAAUUUAGCCCGUCGAUACUAUCCUAGCAUAUUACCGGUCUCGGCCGGUAACUAAAUAUGCGGGAAUUGUAGCAUCGUAAUAUUUAUAUACGUAUAACCUACGUACACACACACAUACCAGCAACGCCUAUAAGUCGUACUGGCACCUUGUAAACACACAGCGUCUCCGCGUUGGAAAGCAAGUAUAUAUCCUCUUUGGAUAUGCCAUAGAGUGUGACAGCCACGUUUGAAUCACUCGCCCAUAGUACGCAUAACACACACACCCAAUGGCGCGCCGGCAGUGCAGUGCACGUAACCGUACUGUAUAUAUAUAACCUGAGUCGAGUUAUUU